Peromyscus leucopus (white-footed mouse) is the source of this 1780-nucleotide RNA transcript. It is a transcript of the gene named ATP-dependent RNA helicase DDX50, with no coding region annotated. The transcript has 10 exons. The record is from RefSeq and is a predicted model, not a curated record. NCBI's taxonomy places the organism in Eukaryota, Metazoa, Chordata, Mammalia, Rodentia, Cricetidae.
GAUUGGCCGGUGCCCUGGAGGAACCUGUCACUUGGGGGCGUGGGGCGGGGCCAUUGGGCCCUCUCCGCGUUCUCAUUGGCGGAGGCGAGGUUGCGGCUUUCCUCCCGCAGAGUUCGGGCUGCUUGCUCCCGCCGGGCGGUGCGUGGCCCGGAAGUGACGCACGGCCCUGGCCGGCGGCCGCCCUGCCCCCGCUUCCUUUCACGCUGUCGGUGGCCGUAGGGGUGGUCGUGGCCACCGCACCCGGCGCGGGAGGUGGCGGCGGCGGCCCGUAAUGCCCGGGAAACUCCUCUGGGGGGACAUCAUGGAGCUCGAGGCACCCUUGGAAGAGCCCGAGAGCCAGAAGAAGGAGAGGCAAAAGAGCUUUAUGGAUUUCGGAAUUUCGGAUAAGGGAUUAUGGACCUGUACUUCCCUGAUAGGGUUGUUAUGAAGAUUUAAACAAGAUAAGCCGAAAACAUUACACAAUGAUGGAGUGAUAGAAGGAAGUCAAGGCACCAUUAUGAAUCAGAUGAGAAAACAGAAACAAGAGAAAAUGGCGUUACAGAUGACCUGGAUGCUCCCAAGCCCAAAAAAGCUAAAAUAAAAGAGAAGCUAAAUGGAGACACCGAAGAAGGACUUAGUAGACUUUCAGAUGAGUUCUCCCCGUCUCACAAGUCGAGAAGAAAAGACCUCCCAAACGGAGAUGUUGAUGCCUACGAGAAAAGGUCAAAGCGAGUGUCAUCCUUAGAGAAUUCUACUUAUAAGUCAAGUGAUAGAGAGGAGGAGAGUCUAACACGUGAACAAAAGGAAGGAGCCUUCUCCAAUUUCUCCAUUUCUGAGGAGACCAUAAAGCUUCUGAAAGGUCGAGGGGUAACAUAUCUCUUUCCUAUUCAAGUUAAAACCUUUGGUCCUGUAUAUGAAGGAAAAGAUUUAAUUGCUCAAGCCCGGACAGGAACAGGAAAGACAUUCUCUUUUGCCAUACCCUUGAUUGAAAGGCUCCAAAGAAAUCAAGAGACAAUUAAAAAAAGCCGCUCACCAAAGGUACUUGUUUUGGCUCCAACAAGGGAACUGGCAAAUCAAGUAGCCAAAGAUUUCAAAGAUAUAACCAGAAAACUCAGUGUCGCGUGUUUUUAUGGUGGAACAUCCUAUCAAAGCCAAAUUAAUCACAUUCGGAAUGGGAUUGACAUCCUUGUUGGGACUCCAGGGCGUAUCAAAGACCAUCUGCAAAGCGGCCGUUUGGACCUUUCAAAGCUGCGCCAUGUUGUGCUUGAUGAAGUCGAUCAGAUGUUAGAUUUAGGUUUUGCUGACCAAGUUGAAGAUAUCAUUCAUGAAUCCUACAAAGCUGAUUCAGAAGACAAUCCUCAGACCUUACUUUUUUCUGCAACUUGCCCACAGUGGGUGUACAAAGUUGCAAAAAAAUACAUGAGAUCCAGAUAUGAGCAGGUUGACCUUGUGGGGAAAAUGACUCAGAAAGCUGCGACCACUGUGGAACAUUUGGCUAUCCAGUGCCAUUGGUCUCAGAGACCAGCAGUUAUUGGAGAUGUCCUUCAGGUCUACAGUGGAUCUGAAGGGAGGGCUAUUAUCUUCUGUGAGACCAAGAAGAAUGUAACUGAAAUGGCCAUGAAUCCACACAUAAAACAGAACGCCCAGUGUUUGCAUGGGGAUAUUGCACAGUCACAAAGAGAAAUUACCCUGAAAGGCUUCAGAGAAGGCAGUUUUAAAGUUUUGGUGGCAACCAAUGUGGCUGCCCGCGGCUUGGACAUUCCUGAGGUUGACUUGGUGAUUCAGAGUUCUCCUCCACAGG